GACGAACGCUGGCGGCAUGCCUAAUACAUGCAAGUCGAGCGAACAGAUGAAGUGCUUGCACUUCUGACGUUAGCGGCGAACGGGUGAGUAACACGUAAGGAAUCUACCUAUAAGCGGGGGAUAACAUUCGGAAACGGGUGCUAAUACCGCAUAAUAUCUUCUUCCGCAUGGAAGAAGAUUGAAAGACGGCUCUGCUGUCACUUAUAGAUGACCUUGCGGUGCAUUAGUUAGUUGGUGGGGUAACGGCCUACCAAGACGAUGAUGCAUAGCCGACCUGGGAGGGUGAUCGGCCACAGUGGGACUGAGACACGGCCCAAACUCCGACGGGAGGCAGCAGUAGGGAAUCUUCCGCAAUGGGCGAAAGCCUGACGGAGCAAUGCCGCGUGAGUGAAGAAGGCCUUCGGGUCGUAAAACUCUGUUAUAAGAGAAGAACAAAUUGUAGAGUAACUGCUACAGUCUUGACGGUAUCUUAUCAGAAAGCCACGGCUAACUACGUGCCAGCCGCCGCUGUAA
Molecule: ribosomal RNA, 513 nt
Filed under: uncultured bacterium
Lineage: Bacteria
Description: partial 16S ribosomal RNA
Rfam family: Bacterial small subunit ribosomal RNA
Source: RNAcentral